This 72-nucleotide transfer RNA is filed under the name Chelodina parkeri (Parker's snake-necked turtle). Its description in RNAcentral is "tRNA-Trp". It matches the Rfam family "tRNA". From Rfam's summary of the family: Transfer RNA (tRNA) molecules are approximately 80 nucleotides in length. Lineage: Eukaryota; Metazoa; Chordata; Testudines; Chelidae. The record is from RNAcentral.
AGAAACUUAGGAUAAUAUCUAAACCAGGAGCCUUCAAAGCCCCAAAUAAGAGUUAUAGCCUCUUAGUUUCUG